RNAcentral lists this ribosomal RNA (543 nucleotides) under uncultured archaeon. RNAcentral's name for it is "bacterial SSU rRNA". It matches the Rfam family "Archaeal small subunit ribosomal RNA", at positions 457 to 997 of the family's 1478-position model. The record is from RNAcentral.
GUCAGCCGCCGCGGUAACACCGGCGGCCCGAGUGGUGAUCGUGAUUAUUGGGUCUAAAGGGUCCGUAGCCGGUUUGGUCAGUCCUCCGGGAAAUCUGAUAGCUCAACUAUUAGGCUUUCGGGGGAUACUGCCAGACUUGGAACCGGGAGAGGUAAGAGGUACUACAGGGGUAGGAGUGAAAUCUUGUAAUCCCUGUGGGACCACCUGUGGCGAAGGCGUCUUACCAGAACGGGUUCGACGGUGAGGGACGAAAGCUGGGGGCACGAACCGGAUUAGAUACCCGGGUAGUCCCAGCCGUAAACGAUGCUCGCUAGGUGUCAGGCAUGGCGCGACCGUGUCUGGUGCCGCAGGGAAGCCGUGAAGCGAGCCACCUGGGAACGUACGGCCGCAAGGCUGAAACUUAAAGGAAUUGGCGGGGGAGCACAACAACGGGUGGAGCCCUGCGGUUUAAUUGGACUCAACGCCGGACAACUCACCGGGGGCGACAGCAAUAUGUAGGCCAAGCUGAAGACUUUGCCUGAAUCGCUGAGAAGUGGUGCAUGG